Molecule: ribosomal RNA, 308 nt
Filed under: uncultured Glomeromycotina
Lineage: Eukaryota; Fungi; Glomeromycota
Description: partial 26S ribosomal RNA
Rfam family: Eukaryotic large subunit ribosomal RNA
Source: RNAcentral
UGGGAGGUAAAUUUCUCCUAAGGCUAAAUAUCGGCGAGAGACCGAUAGCGAACAAGUACCGUGAGGGAAAGAUGAAAAGAACUUUGAAAAGAGAGUAAAAUAGUACGUGAAAUUGUUGAAAGGGAAACGAUUGAAGUCAGUCGUACCGACGGAAAAUCAGCUCUUCGAGUGCGAACUUGUGGGCGUACGUGAGCUUUAACCGGCCUCGUUGUUUGCGAUGUUUGUGCUUUUUGGGUGUACUUUUUCGUAUGGUUGGCCAACGUCAGUCUCGGUUACCAUAAAAUGAUUGGAGGAAUGUAGCUUCGAUA